UGAAUGAAUUAAAUACCUCUAAUGGAAAAAAGAACGCGUAUUGCAAUUCCACAGCUUUUUUUUUUUAAACAGUGAAAUUGUGAAUUGAUUUAAGCUCUAUUUCCUCUUAGUAUGUGAACCUUUUUUCCAACCCUCAGUGCACUCGUGCCCCAAAAACUCACUAUAAUGUAUGCGUAAGUGCACGCCUCCAGCACUGUGGUUUCUCGGCUGAUAUCCACUGCCCGUUGUUAUGAGGGAUGAGAGUGCGAGACUGUGCUCUCUUAUCCAACUAGGAGGGACAUAAUGUUGACUGAAGUAUGCACUGCUUCUGUCACACGUACUGUGAAAAGCCUCCUGCCCUGAGGGAGAGGUGCACCAGCUGUACUAGGACAGGUCCAAAGCCUGUGGGGGAAUAUUAAUGGCAAUGAAGAUGAUGACUUGAAGAAGCCAGUGGAUGAGGCUGUUAAUGCUACAAACUAUGGUUGGAGGUGGGGAGUUC
RNAcentral lists this long non-coding RNA (478 nucleotides) under Takifugu rubripes (torafugu). RNAcentral describes it as "lncRNA (ENSTRUG00000032046.1)". Lineage: Eukaryota; Metazoa; Chordata; Actinopteri; Tetraodontiformes; Tetraodontidae. The record is from RNAcentral.